UACGGAGGACCCGAGCGUUAUCCGGAUUCAUUGGGUUUAAAGGGUGCGUAGGCGGCCCGGUAAGUCAGCGGUGAAAGGCUCCUGCUCCACAGGAGAGCUGCCGUUGAUACUGCUGGGCUAGAAUCUUAGCGAGGCGGGCGGAAUGCGCGGUGUAGCGGUGAAAUGCAUAGAUAUCGCGCAGAACGCCGAUUGGGGAGCCAGCUCGCCAGCUGAGUAUUGACGCUGAGGCACGAAAGCGUGGGGAUCGAACAGGAUUAGAUACCCUGGUAGUCCACGCCGUAAACGAUGAUGGCUCGCUCUUGGCCCGCAAGGGUCAGGGGCUUAGCGAAAGCGUUAAGCCAUCCACCUGGGGAGUACGCCGGCAACGGUGAA
This 372-nucleotide ribosomal RNA is filed under the name uncultured bacterium. RNAcentral's name for it is "bacterial SSU rRNA". It matches the Rfam family "Bacterial small subunit ribosomal RNA", at positions 524 to 898 of the family's 1533-position model. The record is from RNAcentral.